UGCUUCGAGGUUGUACUCCUUGAGGAGCAGCUCGCUCAGCUCGGGGAGGACCGGAUGCCCAAGCCCAACGCCCCCCCUCUCUCUUUCUCUCAGUCUCUCAGGCCGGCCUGCUCGAUAGAUUCUUGUUUCUGAUUUGCCUCUUCCACCUGUAUAUCACGGUGCAGUUAAGAGUAGCAUUAUCAGAGCAGCAGCCAGGGAUCUGGAGAAGAAGAUGGAUGUAAAAAUUAAGGAAAUUACCCGGGAAAUGAGGCAGCAGAAUGAUCCACCAACACCGAUCCAAAUGGCAGACUAGCUAAGGAAGAACAGCAAGAAGAAGAAGUAUGCAGGAGAGGCUUAAGAAUUAGGUGCAAGGAAAAUGUAGUUACUCACUCCACCAGUGAGGAGUCAAGCGCUGCAGGAAAUUUAAUGCUCAGUGAGCCUUAAGUUUUCACAGACUCAGACUAUGCUCCACCCUCAGCCAACAUUAAUCAGACCAUAUGAUACACACAGUUACACACUGUGCAUCAAUGUUCUGGUCCAUCACAUUAACUACACUUUCUGUGUCUAUAUAGGACAGAUGAUGGUCAUACAGCCGAUUAUUUAUUUAUUUUCUAUUAUCAGGAAUUAUUCGUGCCAUUUCGAGAAAAUAUGUUUAGAGGAAGAUUUGCAUGAGAAAACUGAGACAAAAUAAAAUAUAAUCAUACUUCACAGAGGGGGUGUAAGUGCAGGUAGAUGAACAACACCAUAGGUUUAACCGCAAAUUAAUCAAAUCCUUUUAGAGCCGGUACUCAAUCAAAU
Molecule: long non-coding RNA, 777 nt
Filed under: Triticum aestivum (bread wheat)
Lineage: Eukaryota; Viridiplantae; Streptophyta; Magnoliopsida; Poales; Poaceae
Description: long non-coding RNA (TAES_LNC024827)
Source: RNAcentral